GACGUAGGGCGCGAGCGUUGUCCGGAUUUAUUGGGCGUAAAGAGCUCGUAGGCGGCCCGUUGCGUCGGCUGUGAAAACCCGCAGCUCAACUGUGGGCUUGCAGCUGAUACGGGCGGGCUGGAGUUCGGUAGGGGAGACUGGAAUUCCUGGUGUAGCGGUGAAAUGCGCAGAUAUCAGGAGGAACACCGGUGGCGAAGGCGGGUCUCUGGGCCGAUACUGACGCUGAUGCGCGAAAGCCAGGGGAGCGAACGGG
RNAcentral lists this ribosomal RNA (253 nucleotides) under uncultured bacterium. Its description in RNAcentral is "partial 16S ribosomal RNA". It matches the Rfam family "Bacterial small subunit ribosomal RNA", at positions 524 to 776 of the family's 1533-position model. The record is from RNAcentral.